Molecule: ribosomal RNA, 300 nt
Filed under: Rhizobium sp. LT92
Lineage: Bacteria; Pseudomonadati; Pseudomonadota; Alphaproteobacteria; Hyphomicrobiales; Rhizobiaceae
Description: bacterial SSU rRNA
Rfam family: Bacterial small subunit ribosomal RNA
Source: RNAcentral
UGCAAGUCGAACGCCCCGCAAGGGGAGUGGCAGACGGGUGAGUAACGCGUGGGAACAUACCCUUUCCUGCGGAAUAGCUCCGGGAAACUGGAAUUAAUACCGCAUACGCCCUACGGGGGAAAGAUUUAUCGGGGAAGGAUUGGCCCGCGUUGGAUUAGCUAGUUGGUGGGGUAAAGGCCUACCAAGGCGACGAUCCAUAGCUGGUCUGAGAGGAUGAUCAGCCACAUUGGGACUGAGACACGGCCCAAACUCCUACGGGAGGCAGCAGUGGGGAAUAUUGGACAAUGGGCGCAAGCCUGA